Molecule: long non-coding RNA, 823 nt
Filed under: Equus caballus (horse)
Lineage: Eukaryota; Metazoa; Chordata; Mammalia; Perissodactyla; Equidae
Description: lncRNA (ENSECAG00000045837.1)
Source: RNAcentral
GAAAGACUCUGCCUGCGGCCAGGACUGAACUCUAGAGUUUCUCCCCCGGGCCGUGUAGCCAAUCGCUGGAGCUCCACUCAGCCCCAGACCUCUCCCAGGAGAUCUCCGGUAGUCUCGAUCCCCUCCUGGACGAAAACCAGGUCAGGGGAGCCGGCGGCGGCAGCUGGUGGGCCAGCGCGCCGCUUGGGAUUCUCUCCGGGGGGCCCCCAGGCUUUGUGGAUGCUGGACGGGACCUCUCUGCUAAUGGCAGACUCUAAGCAAUUAUGCUGUCAGCUCAGGGAAUGUGGCUCCUGAAAUCUUAAAAUCAGCAGCAGGCAUGGUCCCCUUCAAAUGAGAAUGCGUUACUCUGGUGGAUUAUAAUAACAGUGUCCAUUCAUUCUUCCUAUCUAUCUUUGCCAGGCAACAGCUAUACCAAGGAAGGAAAGGAAACGUACCUCCUGAAAGCCACAAACUUCGCAUCUUGUUUUAUUACCAACCUCAUUAUACAGAUGAGGAAAUUGAGGAUCAGGAAGAAUAAGAAAUUUGGCUAAGGUCAUAUGGAAAUUUACAGACCUGAGAUACGAACCAAGGUCCAGCUGGCUUGCUAGUCUAUCUCCUUUGUGCCACACCAUGUCACAUCAAGGAGCAUUAAGCACUGCUCUUCCAUUGUUCUUUGCAAGAGGGAAACUCAGUUUCUGUACGAUAAUACUUGUCACUGUAUAAAUUAACCUCAGAUAUGUUACUUUUCCCGUAUAUCUAUAAACAUUUUAGACUCAUUUGUUACACUUUUUUGUAUGAGUGUGUAUGUAUGUCUGUCUUUAACAGCAGUGAAUUAUUCAAAUAA